CAUUGGCCAAGAACAAGAUAAAUCAUUACUGCUGCGCAUUUUUGUUGCUUGUGGAUAAGACGUGUCAUUUUUGUUUAACUUUGAAUAAGAACGCCAAAACAGGUAGCACAUGCGCAAACAACGGGCGGACUUUCCAGCGCACAAAGGAAAACCCACCACCACCCAAGGAAAAUCAUUGGCCUUCCAGGGAGAAAUCGCGAGAGCCCCAAAGUGCUCCGCUAUUUGAGCCAUCGACAUUCCGCUGCUCCGUCAGUUUUCAGAGGACCUUCGAACGUGCGAAUAGCAAAGAAUAUUGUUAAAAUUUACAUAACACGAGCCGAGCGUUGAAAGUGAAACUUCUGUGGUGCGAGACACUGAAAGAAAGAAAGGCCCAUUACGAAAAGUGUAAUAAAAGUAACCAAGGAGCCCACGGAGCGGGAGAGCAGCGUUUGCAGCAAGGAGAGUCAAGUACAGACACUAGAGAGUUAUCCUGCCAGUGACUGAGAGCCGAACGUGCGCACGUUUUCCGAUUGGGAGUACAGGCUAAUCCUUGGUAGCAUCAACAGUAAUAGUAGCAGAAGCAGCAGCAGCAGCAGGAGGAGGAGCCCUAGGAGCACCAGAAACACAAAAAAGCAAACAUGUUCUCGGGACUAACAAAUCAAUUUACAUCGCUGGUGGGAGCCGUGAAGGGCGGCGCCGGCGAUGAGGAUGUACCAGCACCCACAGGAGAAGCGGCCGCAGCCGCACAGACCGCCGCAUCCACAUCCUCGGAAGCGGUGGCCGCCGCCGCAGAUCCGGAGGCAGCAGCCGCCGCUGGCGCCGAGGGACUCGAGGGCGAGGAAGCUGGCAAAAGACUUCCCAAAUCCUCAUCCCUGGUUGAUUCAUUUGUCACAGAAGCCACCGGAUGGCUGGGCAGCGCCAAGGGUUGGCUUGGAAAUGCCUCGAUACCAUCGAUGCCAGCCAUGCCGGCUAUGCCGUCGAUGCCAUCGAUGCCAGCCAUGCCAGCGAUGCCGUCGAUACCAUCGAUCCCGGGACUGCGCAAAGCCGGAGGAGCCGAAGGAGCUGAGGGCGCCGAGGGAGCUGCCGCUGGAGAGGGUGGCGCCGCCGGCAGCGGAGCCGUGAGUGGUGGCGAGGAUGACGACAAGUCGAGGUAUAUUAGCGCCACAGAGGGCGCCGACUCGCAUCCAGCUUCGGGCGGUGGCACGCCCACCGGCGACGAGGGUCAAAUCGGACAGGGUAAGGGCGAUGAAGUCAAAAUUACCACAAAAGUAACACAGCAAGCCAAACACUUUGGAUCCUUCUUGUCAUCGGCCAUCAGCAAGGCUGGCAGCAAAAUCAAGGAAACCGUCAAGGAUAAUACUAUUCUCGACUCGUUCAAUAAGGAGCAGGAGGCCUUCAUUAAAGGCCAGGGCGGUGUUGGUAAUGGAGCUGCUCCCUGGAUAGGUCAUGCCAACGAGGCCAAGAUCAAGGAGGAGAUCCUGGGACUGUCACAGGACCGUCGCAACUUCGUGCGUGCCCCGCCAGCUGGUGUGGACUUUGAGUUUAGCUACGAUACCGCUUAUCCCACGGCCAUAGCCAUUAUGGCUGAGGACAAGGCGCUGGAGACGAUGCGAUUCGAGCUGGUGCCCAAGAUCAUCACUGAGGAGAACUUCUGGAGGAAUUACUUCUAUCGCGUCUCCCUAAUCAUCCAGGCCGCCGAGCUGGGCACCCUGGGCGCUGACGGUGUGGGCCAGGCCUCCAGCGGCGAAGAUGAAGAUUGAAUGGAUUAAAAGCAAAAUACAAAAUAAAUCUAAAUUUCAAAAUGCAAAAACAAAACAAAAAUACAAUACCAAAAUAAACAAGAACAAAAUUAUACAAAAAAUACUACAAAAUUGCCCACAAGAAAGAAAAGAAAUUGUUAAGCGAACAUAAAAGUACUACAAGAAACAAAAUUAUAUACAUACUUAUAAAUAUAUUACUUGACAACCAAGCAAUUUUGAGUUGAACCCAAAAAGUCGCAUAUUUUAAAAAACUGAAGAAAGAAAAACCCAAGAACCGAUACUAAAAACAAUAAAAAAAACCGAAACUAAAUUUUGUGUGAGGAACAAUGGGAAAAGGAUCUGGAAGCCGAGCUCAAGGACUACGAAGUUGUUGAUGAAGGCGGCACCAGCGGCGGCGGCGGCGGCGGUGGAAGCAGAAAAGGCCGAAGGACGAAGAACGAGGAGGAGGUGGACGAGGAGGAGGACGAACCGACAAUAUCAAACUUGCGCACACGCUCAACUAACAACGAAUGGGAGGAGUACGCCGAUUUAAUUGAGGAUACCGAUGAUUUAAAGU
RNAcentral lists this unclassified non-coding RNA (2295 nucleotides) under Drosophila ananassae. RNAcentral describes it as "GF18552". The record is from RNAcentral. Lineage: Eukaryota; Metazoa; Arthropoda; Insecta; Diptera; Drosophilidae.